UCAUCUCUUUGUUAUUUAUAAACUUCAUCUGGUGUAGGUUAAUGGAUCACUUGCUCGGAAGGCAAUAAGAGAACUCAUGGCUGGAGGUUUGAUCAGGAUGGUCUCUAUUCAUGCAAGCCAGCAGAUCUACAUCGGGGUGACAAAUAAGGAAUGCUCCUGGAUGUGAUGCUAUCCACACAACAAAAGUUGAGACACCACUUGAAUCUGACACUUUUUUGCCCAUGGUUUAUACAUCUGUCUUCCAAUCAUGGUACUCGUCCUUUUGCAUCAUUGAAAAUGACAACCAGUAACUACUUAUAUCCAUGUAGGAUGUUAUGCAGUGGUUUUCUGCCUAGUAAAAAUUUUUAAGCUGCUUA
Eucalyptus grandis is the source of this 356-nucleotide long non-coding RNA. RefSeq lists it as uncharacterized. Lineage: Eukaryota; Viridiplantae; Streptophyta; Magnoliopsida; Myrtales; Myrtaceae. The record is from RefSeq and is a predicted model, not a curated record. The transcript has 2 exons.